GAUUAACGCUGGCGGCGUGCAUAACACAUGCAAGUCGAACGAUGAAACUUAACUGAUUUCUUCGGAAUGAUUUUAAGUGGAUUAGUGGCGGACGGGUGAGUAACGCGUGAGUAACCUGCCUUGGAGAAGGGGAUAGCCUUUGGAAACGAAGAAUAAUACCCUAUGAUAUGAUAAUAUCUCAUGAUAUUAUCAUCAAAGAUUUAUCGCUCUAAGAUGGACUUGCGUCUGAUUAGUUAGUUGGUGAGGUAACAGCUCACCAAGGCAGCGAUCAGUAGCCGGCUGGAGAGAGUGUACGGCCACAUUGGGACUGAGACACGGCCCAGACUCCUACGGGAGGCAGCAGUGGGGAAUUUUGCACAAUGGGGGAAACCCUGAUGCAGCGACGCCGCGUGAUUUAGAAGGCCUUCGGGUUGUAAAAAUCUUUUGUAUGGGAAGAAAAUGACAGUACCAUACGAAUAAGGACCGGCUAAGUACGUG
RNAcentral lists this ribosomal RNA (477 nucleotides) under uncultured bacterium. Its description in RNAcentral is "partial 16S ribosomal RNA". It matches the Rfam family "Bacterial small subunit ribosomal RNA", at positions 28 to 507 of the family's 1533-position model. The record is from RNAcentral.